AUACUCGCUUCAGCGGCACAUAUACUAAAAUUGGAAUGAUACAGAGAAGAUUAGCAUGGCCCCUGCGCAAGGAUGACACGCAGUGAUUCACUCCCCAAAUGG
Ochotona princeps (American pika) is the source of this 102-nucleotide small nuclear RNA. Lineage: Eukaryota; Metazoa; Chordata; Mammalia; Lagomorpha; Ochotonidae. The record is from Ensembl.